This 58-nucleotide transfer RNA is filed under the name Loxodonta africana (African savanna elephant). It matches the Rfam family "tRNA", at positions 8 to 63 of the family's 71-position model. Rfam says of the family: Transfer RNA (tRNA) molecules are approximately 80 nucleotides in length. Their secondary structure includes four short double-helical elements and three loops (D, anti-codon, and T loops). Further hydrogen bonds mediate the characteristic L-shaped molecular structure. tRNAs have two regions of fundamental functional importance: the anti-codon, which is responsible for specific mRNA codon recognition, and the 3' end, to which the tRNAs corresponding amino acid is attached (by aminoacyl-tRNA synthetases). tRNAs cope with the degeneracy of the genetic code in two manners: having more than one tRNA (with a specific anti-codon) for a particular amino acid; and 'wobble' base-pairing, i.e. permitting non-standard base-pairing at the 3rd anti-codon position. Lineage: Eukaryota; Metazoa; Chordata; Mammalia; Proboscidea; Elephantidae. The record is from Rfam by way of RNAcentral.
UGGCAUAGUGGUUAAAGCACUCGGCUGGUAACUGAAUGGUUGGUGGUUUGAACCCACC